UAGGGAAUAUUGGGCAAUGGAAGCAAUUCUGACCCAGCCAUGCCGCGUGAAGGAAUACAGCCCUAUGGGUUUUAAACUUCUUUUAUUAGAGAGUAACCGGAGGUACGUGUACCUCCCUGCAAGUAUAUGAUGAAUAAGGAUCGGCUAACUCCGUGCCAGCAGCCGCGGUAAUACGGAGGAUCCAAGCGUUAUCCGGAUUUAUUGGGUUUAAAGGGUGCGCAGGCGGAUCAAGAAGUCAGGGGUGAAAAAUGUCAGCUUAACUGGAAUUGUGCCUUGGAUACUGUUGGACUAGAGUAU
Molecule: ribosomal RNA, 297 nt
Filed under: uncultured prokaryote
Description: partial 16S ribosomal RNA
Rfam family: Bacterial small subunit ribosomal RNA
Source: RNAcentral